AAGAUUCACGGCUGUGCGCUUUGGCUGCACGUCGUAAAACCUCACACACACUGUGCACAACCUCGGUCGUGGUGUUAAUCCACCGCCUCCGCCUUUCACAUGCAACAAGCAGUCCAGAAUGUAACAAACCAUAAACAAAUA
This 141-nucleotide unclassified non-coding RNA is filed under the name uncultured fungus. RNAcentral describes it as "sequence contains ITS1". The record is from RNAcentral. Lineage: Eukaryota; Fungi.